RNAcentral lists this ribosomal RNA (377 nucleotides) under uncultured bacterium. RNAcentral describes it as "bacterial SSU rRNA". It matches the Rfam family "Bacterial small subunit ribosomal RNA", at positions 521 to 896 of the family's 1533-position model. The record is from RNAcentral.
UAAUACGUAGGGUCCGAGCGUUGUCCGGAGUUACUGGGCGUAAAGGGCACGCAGGCGGCGCGAUGAGCCCGGCGUGAAAGCCCCCGGCUCAACCGGGGAGGGUCGUCGGGGACUGUCGCGCUUGAGGGCAGCAGGGGGUGGUGGAAUGCCCGGUGUAGUGGUGAAAUGCGUAGAGAUCGGGCGGAACACCCGUGGCGAAGGCGGCCACCUGGGCUGCACCUGACGCUGAGGUGCGAAGGCGUGGGGAGCGAACGGGAUUAGAUACCCCGGUAGUCCACGCAGUAAACGAUGCCGACUAGGCGUGGGGGGACUUGACCCCCUCCGUGCCGGAGCUAACGCGGGAAGUCGGCCGCCUGGGGAGUACGGCCGCAAGGCUA